AGCUGAUCAUUGGGUGUAAAGCGUGCGCAGGCGGUUUUGUAAGACAGAGGUGAAAUCCCCGGGCUCAACCUAGGAACUGCCUUUGUGACUGCAAGGCUGGAGUGCGGCAGAGGGGGAUGGAAUUCCGCGUGUAGCAGUGAAAUGCGUAGAUAUGCGGAGGAACACCGAUGGCGAAGGCAAUCCCCUGGGCCUGCACUGACGCUCAUGCACGAAAGCGUGGGGAGCAAACA
This 230-nucleotide ribosomal RNA is filed under the name uncultured Alicycliphilus sp. RNAcentral's name for it is "partial 16S ribosomal RNA". It matches the Rfam family "Bacterial small subunit ribosomal RNA", at positions 550 to 774 of the family's 1533-position model. The record is from RNAcentral. Lineage: Bacteria; Pseudomonadati; Pseudomonadota; Betaproteobacteria; Burkholderiales; Comamonadaceae.